ACUCCUACGGGAGGCAGCAGUAGGGAAUCUUCCACGAUGGGCGCAAGCCUGAUGGAGCAACACCGCGUGAGUGAAGAAGGGUUUCGGCUCGUAAAGCUCUGUUGUUAAAGAAGAACACGUAUGAGAGUAACUGUUCAUACGUUGACGGUAUUUAACCAGAAAGUCACGGCUAACUACGUGCCAGCAGCCGCGGUAAUACGUAGGUGGCAAGCGUUAUCCGGAUUUAUUGGGCGUAAAGAGAGUGCAGGCGGUUUUCUAAGUCUGAUGUGAAAGCCUUCGGCUUAACCGGAGAAGUGCAUCGGAAACUGGAUAACUUGAGUGCAGAAGAGGGUAGUGGAACUCCAUGUGUAGCGGUGGAAUGCGUAGAUAUAUGGAAGAACACCAGUGGCGAAGGCGGCUACCUGGUCUGCAACUGACGCUGAGACUCGAAAGCAUGGGUAGCGAACAGGAUUAGAUACCCUGGUAGCUCGAUG
RNAcentral lists this ribosomal RNA (473 nucleotides) under uncultured bacterium. Its description in RNAcentral is "bacterial SSU rRNA". It matches the Rfam family "Bacterial small subunit ribosomal RNA", at positions 335 to 799 of the family's 1533-position model. The record is from RNAcentral.